UACGGGGGGGGCAAGCGUUGUUCGGAAUUACUGGGCGUAAAGGGCCAGUAGGCGGCCAACUAAGUCCGACGUGAAAUCCCAAGGCUUAACCUUGGAACUGCGUCGGAUACUGGAUGGCUUGAAUUCGGGAGAGGGAUGCGGAAUUCCAGGUGUAGCGGUGAAAUGCGUAGAUAUCUGGAGGAACACCGGUGGCGAAGGCGGCAUCCUGGACCGGCAUUGACGCUGAGGCGCGAAAGCCAGGGGAGCAAACGGG
RNAcentral lists this ribosomal RNA (253 nucleotides) under uncultured bacterium. Its description in RNAcentral is "partial 16S ribosomal RNA". It matches the Rfam family "Bacterial small subunit ribosomal RNA", at positions 524 to 776 of the family's 1533-position model. The record is from RNAcentral.